UAGCGGUUCCUCAAACGCCAAUAACUUCGUCGAACUCAAAGUCGGUAGCAAAUCACACAAAGACUACAGUUAUGUUUGUAAGAAAAUAUGUAGAAGAAGUUCAGAAAAUUCGAUGUAGAAAAUUGAGAGAAAUCAAUAACCUCCUGCCACUGAGACUUCUUCAUUCUCAUCAACAAGGUAUCACGCGUGAUACCUGAAAAGAAGAAUAAGAGAACUACUGAUUGGGAAUUCUAAUAAAACUUGAUGCAAACUAGGAUGACUGUUGCUUGCCUGCAUUAAAAAAUAUUGUUUCCCUUGUAUAUUUGGGGUAAAAACAUGUUCCUCUCUAACUAGAAAGUUGCAAAGAUUUUUUUGGAUGCUUAAUGCCACAGCACAAACGUUAACUUGUUGGUAUUAUCUUGGUGCAAAAUUGAUUAAAUGAUCUUUUUGACUCGUUCCCACAAAAAAAAAAGGUGGUAGCGAACCUGUAUUAUUGAUCAAG
RNAcentral lists this long non-coding RNA (481 nucleotides) under Solanum tuberosum (potato). RNAcentral's name for it is "long non-coding RNA (STUB_LNC001955)". The record is from RNAcentral. Lineage: Eukaryota; Viridiplantae; Streptophyta; Magnoliopsida; Solanales; Solanaceae.